UGCAGUGAGCUGAGAUAGCACCACUGCACUCCAGCCUAGGUGACAGAGGGAGACUCCAUCUCAAAAAAAAACAAAAAAAAAACAAAAACUUGAGCUCUGUGUCUUGUCAAAGGUGUCUGAUCUGAAUCUAGUCAAGACUUUAGAUCUCACUUCCAGUUUAUGGGAUUUACAAGAGAUAGAGGUACAAGUUAAAUGACGGUACAAGGAAACAAUCAGACAAAUCAGAUAUGAGAUGCUCCUUCCACUAAAUGGCCUGGCCUACUCAAAAAGUCAGCAUUGUGGGGAAAACAAGAGGUUGGGAAUAUUCUAGUAAGGAGAAUAAAGAGACAUAAGAGCCAAAUGCAAUGUGUGCACAUGGAAAAGACAUUCUAGGGCCAAUGCAGGAGGCUAGAAUACGGAUUCAACAUGAGACAACAUUAGAAAAUUGUGUUAAAUUUUCUUGGGUGUGUCAUGGAUUUAGUUAUGUGUGAUAAUGUCCUUAUUCUGUGAAGAUAGAUACUGAAAUAUGUAUGGGAAAAUAUUAUGGCUGCAGCUCAUUUUCAAAUGGUUCAGAAAAACAAUAUACACAACACACACAUAUCUAAAGAUAAAUAUGGUAAGGUGCUAACAACUGCAGAACAGAGGGAGUGGGCACAUUGUACUCUUUGUGUUGUUUUUCUGUAUGUUUACAUUUUUCCAUAAUAAAAGUGUAGGAAAAAAGGGGAAGGUAACAAAAAGCUGACAGAAGGUUGUGUGAGCCCCGUGUAUGUGGCCAGGACUCGUCAGUUGGUGAACCAGCAAUUCCAGCAGGGACCUUCGGAUGCUAGUGCCGUCAGUCUUCUCCCCAGCCAAUCAGCACUCCUGGAGAGGAGCUCCCAGCCCCCGCCUGGGGUGUGUGGGCCUCACUGCCAACACAUGGGAGCUGAAUUCAGAUUUUCACUGAAUUCUCUUGUUUUCUUUCUUUUUUUUUUUUAGACAGUAUCUGGCUCUGUCACCUAGGCUGGAGUGCAGUGGCGUGAUCUCGGCUCACUGCAGCCUCAACCUCCCAGGCUCAAGUGAUCCUCCCUACCUAAGCCCCAGCCCCAAGUAGCUGGGACCACAGGUGCCCGCCACCACACUCAGCUAAUUUUAUUUUUUUUUUAGAGACAGGGUCUCCCUAUGUUGCCAGACUGGUCACAAACUCCUGGGCUCAAAUGAUUCUCCCGCCUCAGCCUCCCAAAGUGCUGGGAUUACAGGCAUGAGCCACCACGUCCGGCCUAAAUUCUCUUGUUUUAAUAGGUGUCUCACCCCAUCCUCAACUGGGGAAAGCCUCCUAAAGAAACCCACAGCCUUCUGCCCGGGAGCAGAGGGCAGCUGCCUGCCUAAGUAAAAUGGGGAAGGAUUCCGAGGGUCUCUUUUCCUCCAGACUUUCCCCCAGUCCUGUUUCCAGGCCCACUUCGGUGCUCCUGAUCUGCCAGCCUGAGGUCUCCUGGGGUUUGGUCCCUAAGGGCUUACUCAUGACUGUGAGGCUGUGUCAAGCGUGGUCUCUAGAGCCGAACCUCGGAGAGGUUCAGAUUCUGCUGUGUAACCUGGGGCAAAUUAAACCUUUCUGUGCCUAGUCUCCAAUAUUAGGGUACAAAUCCUGCUAGCAUUUUUGGGGGAUCGCGAAAGUGAAUAUACCUUCAACCCUUAGAUCAGUGGCUGGCACGGAGUAAAUCCUUGAGGCUACACACACACACACACCCCAACCCCCGGCAGAUGUAGGUUUCUGAUUUCUCUGGUCUGUGCGGUCACUUCCCAUUUUCUGUAAUUAUAUUGCUAUCUCCAGUCUGGUACUCUUUCUUCUGCUUUGCCUUUGUAGGUUUUGGCUUUUUUUUUUUUUUAAUCCCUUUCUCUCUCUGGUGAGACAUACAUAUACAUACGGUUAUAUAUACAGUUAAACAUACAUAUACAUUCACAACAUUAAGCCACAAGUCUCAAUGACUCUCUUUUUCUUCCUUUCUUUUUCUUUCUUUCUUCUUUUUCCUCUUUCUCUCUUCUUUCUUUUCUUUUCUUUUUUUUUUUUUUUGAGAUGAAGUCUCGCCCUGUCGCCCAGGAUGGAGUGCAGUAGCGCGAGCUUGGCUCACCACAACCUCCGCCUCCCGGGUUCAGGCCAUUCUCUGGCCUCAGCUUCCCAAGUAAGUGGAAUUAUAGGCAUCUGCCACCACGUCCAGCUAAUUUUAUUUUUUUAGUAGACACAGGGUUUCGCCAUGUAGACCAGGCUGGUCUUGAAUUCCUGACUGCAGGUGAUCCACCUGCCUCGGCCUCCCAAAGUGCUGGGAUUGCAGACAUGAGCCACCACGUCCGGCCAGC
This 2310-nucleotide long non-coding RNA is filed under the name Homo sapiens (human). Its description in RNAcentral is "HSALNT0201639". The record is from RNAcentral. Lineage: Eukaryota; Metazoa; Chordata; Mammalia; Primates; Hominidae.